GACGAACGCUGGCGGCGUGCCUAAUACAUGCAAGUAGAACGCUGAAGGAGGAGCUUGCUUCUCUGGAUGAGUUGCGAACGGGUGAGUAACGCGUAGGUAACCUGCCUGGUAGCGGGGGAUAACUAUUGGAAACGAUAGCUAAUACCGCAUAAGAGUAGAUGUUGCAUGACAUUUGCUUAAAAGGUGCAAUUGCAUCACUACCAGAUGGACCUGCGUUGUAUUAGCUAGUUGGUGAGGUAACGGCUCACCAAGGCGACGAUACAUAGCCGACCUGAGAGGGUGAUCGGCCACACUGGGACUGAGACACGGCCCAGACUCCUACGGGAGGCAGCAGUAGGGAAUCUUCGGCAAUGGACGGAAGUCUGACCGAGCAACGCCGCGUGAGUGAAGAAGGUUUUCGGAUCGUAAAGCUCUGUUGCAAGAGAAGAACGAGUGUGAGAGUGGAAAGUUCACACUGUGACGGUAUCUUACCAGAAAGGGACGGCUAACUACGUG
This 495-nucleotide ribosomal RNA is filed under the name uncultured bacterium. RNAcentral's name for it is "partial 16S ribosomal RNA". It matches the Rfam family "Bacterial small subunit ribosomal RNA", at positions 28 to 507 of the family's 1533-position model. The record is from RNAcentral.